GAACGAGGUAGCAAUACCGAGUGGCGAACGGGUGAGUAACACGUAGGUAGCCUGCCCUUAAGCUUGGGAUACCCAGAGGAAACUUGGCUAAUACCGGAUAACAACAGAGAAGGCAUCUCUUUGCUUGAAAGGCCCCUUCAAGGGUCACUUAAGGAUGGACCUGCGGCGCAUUAGCUAGUUGGUGAGAUAACAGCCCACCAAGGCGAGGAUGCGUAGCCGAACUGAGAGGUUGAUCGGCCACAUUGGAACUGAGACACGGUCCAAACUCCUACGGGAGGCAGCAGUAAGGAGUUUUCGGCAAUGGGGGAAACCCUGACCGAGCAACGCCGCGUGAGCGAUGACGGUCCUUUGGAUUUGUAAAGCUCUGUUGUAAGCCAUGAAUGACAGCUUGAGGAAAUGCAAGUUGUUUGACGACAGCUUACCAGAAAGCCACGGCUAACUACGUGCCAGCAGCAGC
This 457-nucleotide ribosomal RNA is filed under the name uncultured bacterium. RNAcentral describes it as "bacterial SSU rRNA". It matches the Rfam family "Bacterial small subunit ribosomal RNA", at positions 64 to 518 of the family's 1533-position model. The record is from RNAcentral.